Molecule: non-coding RNA, 2148 nt
Organism: Podarcis muralis (Common wall lizard)
Lineage: Eukaryota; Metazoa; Chordata; Lepidosauria; Squamata; Lacertidae
Source: RefSeq, a predicted model, not a curated record
AUCGCUAGAAGAAGGAAGAUACUAAAGUGGGUGCUUUGUCACAGAGUAAUAGUAGUAAGGUAGCUCCUGUUUUCUUGGGGAAUAAUUUGCCUACACAGAGCCUAAAAGGUGGUUCAACUAUGUCCAGUCUUUGUUAAUCAUUUGUUCCAGUGUGUUUACCAGUUAAUCAUUUGUUAAUCAUUUGUUCCAGUGUGUUUACCAGUUACUGGGAAUCAUAGGCGGGGAGAGCACAGGUCCUGCUUUUGGGCUUUCCAUAGGCUGCUGGCUGCCACUGAGAAUGGGAUACUGGACUAGAUGGGCCACUGGCCUUAUCCAGCAGCUCCUUCUUACGUUUAUAUGGCAGUUAUAGGACAAAGAACACUCAACUUUUUUCAAGUGGGUUUGUUAAUGCACUAGGCAAUAUAGCACAGUUAAUUGUGCAGUUCUCAUGUUCCUAAAGACUUCAAUCCCUCCGUAAAGGCACUGUCUGUUGGUUCUUUCAUAAAACGUGUAGACUAGUUUUUUAAAAAAUUGGUAGCACUAACUACACAGCUUAACUGUAUGGAAUAAAGGCCAGUGAGUCACCUGCUUUGAAGACAUGUUGUUUAUGCUACUUGGGAAUUUGUAAGUUAUCUGUUUUGAAGCAAAUAUAGCAUUAAAAAAGAAAAUUGUGGUAGCUACCAUGCAAAUUAGAACACACACUGGAUUCACCCAGCUUUGGCACCAGCCAAAGACCAGUAUGCCUUGUAAGUAGGCUACCUUGUGCCGUACCUUACAUAAAAUUUGCUUUUUCAUGAAUGCGUUAGUUACUAGGGUUCUUCCCUUCCUAUAGACAUUUGGCUCAUUGGUGCAUUGUUUUAAAACUGAUUUUCAAUUUCAGUAUGUGGUAGUCACCUGGACUCAACGAUUUGAGGGUUGGCUUCAAAAGUGGAGGUAGAAAUAUCCUGGCUGCUAUAUACUGCAAUGAAAGGAAAACACUACAAAGUAAGAUCCUUGUGAGAAUCAAAUGUUUCCAUGCCCUUUUAUUGAUGAACCUGUGACAGGUGAGAUACUGAACAAGAAAGCAACUCUUUUCUAUCAGUGGUAUUCACUGGGGUGGAAAGAAUAAGAUGAGCUCUGUGGGGAAAACCCUGAGGUCAGAAAACCACUUCACUUAAAUAUCUGGCAGUACAUCUCAUUUGUCACAAUCUGCCUUACCAUAGCUUUCACAAAUAAUCUCUUUGAACUUCCUGCCAGAUCUCGCUACUAACUGAAGAAGCUUUAUGGACUCCCUUUUGUCCUCCUCUUUCAGUUGGUUGAGCCCAAGUAUUUCCAGCAAUGUGAGGAUACCACCAACUUCCAGGAAUUCAAUAAUGUAUCGCUGGCUGAAAAAAUGUGGAGAAGAAAGCAACAGAUCUAAAGUCUAUUUGCAACAAGAUUGCAUAAUAUGAUUUCAGUUAUUAUUUCACACUUAUUAACAGUUAAGUUUCUUUUCAUAGGCAAAGUAAUUGGCAGCUCCACUGCUUCUCUUCCUAAACACCACUUUAGUAACCCCUUUACUAAAGCAGCAGAGCUGCCAAGGGAAAGACUUUGCACUUCAGUCAUUCACUAAAUAGUGUUCCAUUCUUUACAGGAAUGCAAGCUGAUGAACUAAAGCAAUUCUAGUUUUCUUACAGGGGAAGAAAACUUUGACCAUAUUUUCCAUAUACAGAACUGGGCAUAGGUAUUCCCAAAUCCAACACUUACAACCUGGUAUCUCAGCCAAGGAGAUUAUAGGAAUGCUUCAUCUAAGAACAUUCCCUAUGGUUGUUGCUGGAGUAGUUUUUAUUCCUGAAGCCAUGCCAGUGUGCAAGUUGCAUAAUUUCAUGUUUGAUAAAAUGGUUAUUUAGGCAACAGACAAAGAAGCACCAAGCCACAGAAAGCAGAGCUUUUUAUAUUUGCCAAUCUCUUUGAUAAUAUGAUUACAUUUUCCCAAACACCACGUUCUCACUACCUCUUUCACAGCAACAUAAUGUGCUAAAAACCUCAGGAUCCUAUCCAAAUAUAGAAAUGGUACAUUUUUUUACUCACCCACUUGCAGCUGAUAGGAAGAUGCCAAUGGACUUCAAUUGUUGCUCUAGGCACGUUCCAUACAUGUAACUAUUGUGAGUUUGUGAAGGCUUUAAAUUAAAUACAUUCUGGCACACUAAA